UACCAGCACCCCGAGUGGUCGGGACGAUUAUUGGGCCUAAAGCAUCCGUAGCCGGUCAUGCAAGUCCUCCGUUAAAUCCACCUGCUUAACAGAUGGGCUGCGGAGGAUACUACAAGGCUAGGAGGCGGAAGAGGCAAGCGGUAUUCAGUGGGUAGGGGUAAAAUCCUCUGAUCCAUUGAAGACCACCAGUGGCGAAGGCGGCUUGCCAAUACGCGCUCGACGGUGAGGGAUGAAAGCUGGGGGAGCAAACCGG
Molecule: ribosomal RNA, 253 nt
Filed under: uncultured bacterium
Lineage: Bacteria
Description: partial 16S ribosomal RNA
Rfam family: Archaeal small subunit ribosomal RNA
Source: RNAcentral